RNAcentral lists this unclassified non-coding RNA (407 nucleotides) under fungal sp. Its description in RNAcentral is "partial internal transcribed spacer region". The stretch from base 1 to 46 matches the Rfam family "Eukaryotic small subunit ribosomal RNA", at positions 1786 to 1831 of the family's 1831-position model. The record is from RNAcentral. Lineage: Eukaryota; Fungi.
AAGUCGUAACAAGGUUUCCGUAGGUGAACCUGCGGAAGGAUCAUUAACACGUAUCCAACGAUACAAACUAAUACGCAGAACCUAAGUUCCCUGGCAUUAGACCUCUAGUCGUCUGCUCACGGAUUGUGGUGGGUCCCCGGGUUCGUUCCUUCGGGAAUGCGAUCCGGUGUGGCAUAUUCGGACAGACUAUUUAUCAUUCCUUUGAGAAUGGAGGCUAGUAACUUAAUGUCGGGCUUUACCCAUCUAUUUCAUUCAACCACUUUGGGUGGUAGAUGGGCCCCAUACCCUUAUUUCACCUUCUUUACCCUAAUUGGCUAAUUUCUAUAUCGAACUGGAGAAAUCCUUUUCGAUCUACUAAGAUUUAUCUUAACUAAGCACAACUCUUAGCAAUGGAUAUCUUGGUUCUC